Molecule: ribosomal RNA, 924 nt
Filed under: uncultured bacterium
Lineage: Bacteria
Description: bacterial SSU rRNA
Rfam family: Bacterial small subunit ribosomal RNA
Source: RNAcentral
AGAGUUUGAUCAUGGCUCAGGAUGAACGCUGGCGGCGCACUUAAGACAUGCAAGUCGAACGAAGAUAAACGCUUAACAAGUCAACUAGUUUACUAGGAGAUGAGUUAUUGUUUAUUUUAGUGGCGGACGGGUGAGUAACACGCAGGCAAUCUGCCUUUCAGUGGGAAAUAACUAAGAGAAAUUUUAGCUAAUGUCCCAUAAGACCACAUCAUGGCAUCAUGGAGAGGUCAAAGGAGUAAUCCGCUGAAAGAUGAGCCUACGUCUGAUUAGUUAGUUGGCGUGGUAAUGGCACACCAAGACGAUGAUCAGUAGCCGAGCUGAGAGGCUGGCCGGCCACAUUGGGACUGAGAUACGGCCCAAACUCCUACGGGAGGCAGCAGUUGGGAAUAUUGGACAAUGGACGAAAGUCUGAUCCAGUGACGCCGCGUGAAGGAAGAAGGUCUUCGGAUUGUAAACUUAUUUUGUCAGGGAAGAAAUAAAUGACUGUACCUGAAGAAGAAGGACCGGCAAACUACGUGCCAGCAGCCGCGGUAAUACGUAGGGUCCAAGCGUUAUCCGGAUUUACUGGGUGUAAAGGGCGAGUAGACGGCGUUACAAGUCAGAUGUGAAAACUUGGGGCUCAACCUCAAGACUGCAUCUGAAACUGUAAUGCUAGAGUGCAGGAGAGGAAAGUGGAAUUCCUAGUGUAGCGGUGAAAUGCGUAGAUAUUAGGAGGAACACCAGUGGCGAAGGCGACUUUCUGGACUGUAACUGACGUUGAGGCGCGAAAGUGUGGGGAGCAAACAGGAUUAGAUACCCUGGUAGUCCACACUGUAAACGAUGGAUACUAGGUGUAGGCACUAACGUGUCUGUGCCGGCGCAAACGCAAUAAGUAUCCCACCUGGGGAGUACGGCCGCAAGGUUGAAACUCAAAGGAAUUGACGG